AAAGUCAGCCGAACAGUCGCUGUCCCACGCGCGCCGAUUGGUUCGCCUGGGACGGAGGAAAGUCCGGGCUCCGCAGGGUAGAGUGCCAGGUAACGCCUGGGGGACGUGAGUCCACGGAAAGUGCCGCAGAAAAUAUACCGCCUAAGCAGCGUGCUGCCGGUAAGGGUGAAAUGGUGUGGUAAGAGCGCACCGCGCUUCUGGUAACAGAAGUGGCAGGGUAAACCCCACUCGGAGCAAGACCAAAUAGGAAUCCUAUGGCGCGACCCGUGCCGGAUUCGGGUAGGUCGCUAGAGGUGCCUGGCGACAGGCAUCCCAGAUGAAUGGCUGUUUACGACAGAACCCGGCUUACAGGCUGACUUUCUUU
RNAcentral lists this RNase P RNA (364 nucleotides) under Porticoccaceae bacterium. RNAcentral's name for it is "RNase P RNA component class A". It matches the Rfam family "Bacterial RNase P class A". From Rfam's summary of the family: Ribonuclease P (RNase P) is a ubiquitous endoribonuclease, found in archaea, bacteria and eukarya as well as chloroplasts and mitochondria. The record is from RNAcentral. Lineage: Bacteria; Pseudomonadati; Pseudomonadota; Gammaproteobacteria; Cellvibrionales; Porticoccaceae.